Molecule: long non-coding RNA, 2407 nt
Filed under: Homo sapiens (human)
Lineage: Eukaryota; Metazoa; Chordata; Mammalia; Primates; Hominidae
Description: HSALNT0072043
Source: RNAcentral
AGUGAACCCUAAUGUCAACUGUGGACUUUGGGUGAUAAUGAUCUGCCAAUGUAUGUUCGUGAAUUGCAACAUCCCCCACUCUGGUGGGGGAUGUUGAUAAUGGGGGAGGCUAUUCCUGUGUGGGGCAGAGGAUGUAUGGGAAAUCUCUGUACCUUCCACUCAGUUUUGCUGUGAACCUAAAACUAUUUUAAAAACUAAAAACUAUUACAAAUAAAUAGAAAUAUGCUGCUCCAGGCCCUCAACAGGCCUUUUCAGCCUGGGAACUCACGAGCUCCUAUUCUUCUAUUCUGGAAAUGUUCUUUCCUCAUGCAUGUACUUCAUUAGACCAUAAUACGCUUUGUCAAGGCAGGAACCAUGUGAUUCUUGCUCAUGAUUCUUUUAUGGUGCCUAGUGAAGUACCUGGAGCCCAAUAGCUAUUUAAUGAGUGAACUAAUGAAUGAAUGAAUGCAGGAAAGAACAUGAGUGCUUUGGGAAGAAGAUAUUCCGCUGAGCUUCGGGGAUGCCAAGCUUAAGGUGUACAUUGUAUGUAAGAGCCUAGACCCACGAAAUAUAUCAAGGCUGCAAAUGUAGGCUAGGGAGGUAACUGCAUAUAUUUGGUACUUGAAGCCCUGGUGGUGAUAUGGUCUCCCUGGAAAGGUAUAUGGAGUGAAAAGAAAAGAAAGUGGCUAGUAAAGGGCAGUAAAGUCCAUGGUUUCUCUGAAUGAAGAAAAAAUGUUGUUUUCCAAAAUUUCCAAACAAAAGCGAAACUCAUGGAGAAUUUUCCAUUAUCCUAUGGCUUUCUCUAUGUCUCAGCAGAACUUUUCAUAUACUGUAAGAAGCAUGAUACUAGAGUACACUAAUUAUUAAGGUUCAUCACCAAAACUCACCCCUUCUAUAUCCACAGAGAAAGAGGCAUAUGCGGGUAGGUAACAGAAAUGACAGGAAAAGCUAUUGACAGAUGAGAAUAGUGGCCAGAAGAGAAAUAUAGGUGAAGUGUUCUGGCCUACCCAAACCCUCAGUCUCCAGCCCAGAUCCUCGGCUCCUGAAAACACUACAAAAUACUCCCCCAGUACUCCACCCCUGCCACUAGCAAGUAUCACUUGCAGGCCCAUCCUUUGCUCUCUUAACCAUGCCCACAUGCUCUUUCCCACCGCGUCUUAUUCCUCCUCUCUAAGAAGUCUUAUUCUCUGUGUAAGAAAGCUUAAGUCCUCUGCUUGUUCAGCCUAGCUUGAACUGAAACCAAUAUCCCCAAUACCAGCUAAAGUUAGCUAACGUGAUCUAAUUCCUGGAUAUUUAGGGCCCCCUCUAACUGCCUCUAUCACCAGCAAAAUCACCUGCUGGGAACUGACUCUCAGCCCAGGUUCUAUUUCUGUCCCCCACCCGCUUCAUCUACCUCUGUAAGUUCUGAACCAUCUCAGAAUGAAGCUCCCAGAGAAACCCUGCCCUGCAUGGUAUAUUCCUGCCACUGCAUGCUUGCAGAUGCGCUCAUAAUUGAAUUUGUUCAUUUUAAUGGUGGAAGUUUGGGCACCUGGGAGCCAAUUUUAGAAAAUGCAUUGGCUAUUGGACAAAAUGAUGAAGUCCAGAUCUAGCAUGUGGGUCUGAGAUUCUCCACUACUGGGCUAGCUAACCAGAUUGCUAAAAGGAAGUAGAAAGAGAGUUUAUGUGUUGUGACAUUCUAUACAAACAAGAAUUCAGUUCACAUUAGUGGAAAGUAUUAAGAAUCAAUCUUUCUCCACAAUGAAAAACACUGAAUAAAAUAUAUUUAAAACACUGAAUAAAAUAUAUUUAAAGUCACGUUAAAAGCAAGGAAGGUCUGGGCAUGGUGGCUUAUGCCUGUAAUCCCAGCACUUUGGGAGGCCAAGGCAGGAGGAUCACUUGAGCCCAGGAGUCGAGCCUGGGAAACAUAGUGAGAUUCUUGCCUCCACAAAACAUCCAAAAAUUAGCUGACCAUGGUGGUGGGCACCUAGAGUCUCAGGUACUUGGGAGACUGAGGUGGGAGGAUCACUUGAGCCUUGGAGGUCGAGGCUACAGUGAGCUGUGAUUGUGCCACUGCACUCCAGCCUGGGCAACAGAGCGAGACCCUGUCAAAAAAAAAAAAAAAAGAAAAAAAGAAAAAAGAAAAAGAAAAGACAAGGAAGGAUUACCACAUGUCAUGCCACAUUUUGGUGGGAAAAGCCUGAACCUGGAAGCCAAAGAAAAAAAGUAUCUGAGCAACAAAACCCUUCUAAGGGGGCUUACUGACACUGAUCACUUAGUCUUGAGUUCCCCAGCCUCAUGUGGCCAAAAGGACAGAGUCAAGGCCCAGGGCCACUCAAGAAGAGGAAACUUGGGGAUAACAUUUUCUAUGUCAAAUGAACCCCAAAACACUACAUAAUAAAAUAAAUUAUAAACAGAACUAAACUCCUCCUACUUCCCAGUAGUAAUGGAA